Molecule: ribosomal RNA, 758 nt
Filed under: Nothotylenchus sp. 1 RH-2017
Lineage: Eukaryota; Metazoa; Nematoda; Chromadorea; Rhabditida; Nothotylenchidae
Description: eukaryotic LSU rRNA
Rfam family: Eukaryotic large subunit ribosomal RNA
Source: RNAcentral
UACAAGUACCCGUGAGGGAAAGUUGCAAAGCACUUUGAAGAGAGAGUUAAAGAGUACGUGAAAUCGGUAAGGUGGAAACGAAUAGAGCUGACGUAUUUUGGUUGUGUUCAGCCGUUGAUUGUGCUCGUCCGCUGGUCGGUGCUGGCUGGAGAAUUUCGGUUUUCUGGUCGUGUACUUGCUGGUUGGUAUGGGUCUUUCGGUGGUGCAUUCACGAUCAUGUAUGCAUUGAAACGUAUGCGGUGGACAUUCGACGUGUGGUGGAAGAGGCUAUCCCUUCGGGGGUAAAACCGGCCCUGUGCUGAAGGUGUUUCGUCGUGUAUGUAGUCUUCGAUCGAUGCAAAUGUCGUAGUGGUUGUUUUUUUGGAUUGUGGCGGUCGCAUGCGACACGCGCAGUUCGAGGAUGCUAUCGUUGCGAUGUUGUGUUGGUUAUUUUCAAUGUAAAAGUCGGUCAUCUAUUCGACCCGUCUUGAAACACGGACCAAGGAGUUUAACGUAUGUGCAAGUGAUUGGGUGUUAAAACCUAAACGCGAAUUGAAAGAGAAUCCGUCCUCGUGAUGGUGAUAUGCGAUCUGUUGUACUUCGGUGCAGCGGCGUAGCAUAGCCCCAUUCCUGUUGCUUGCAACGGAGUGGAGGUAGAGCAUAUACGUUGAGACCCGAAAGAUGGUGAACUAUGCCUGAGCAGGACGAAGACAGAGGAAACUCUGGUGGAAGUCCGAAUCGGUUCUGACGUGCAAAUCGAUCGUCUGACUUGGGUAUAG